This 576-nucleotide long non-coding RNA is filed under the name Homo sapiens (human). Its description in RNAcentral is "HSALNT0278199". Lineage: Eukaryota; Metazoa; Chordata; Mammalia; Primates; Hominidae. The record is from RNAcentral.
CAGAGGGAAAAGUGCCAGUUUGGGGACAGAAAGCCUGGACUCCAACUCUGACAACACAUCUUAUUGGCUAUGUGCCCUGAGCUCAGAUUCUCUCCAAUGGGAAGUAAUACCACCACCUCCCUCAAACCAAGCCCCAGGCAGUCGUGGUUGUAACUGCUUUUUAAAAUCUUUUUUUAAAUAAAAAGAUUUUUUGAAGAGGGUCUCACUCUGUCACCCAGGUUUGAGUACAGUGGGGUGAUCACAGUUCACUGCAGCCUUGACCUCCCAGGCUCAGGUGAUCCUCCUACCUUAGCCUCCUGAGUAGCUGGGACUACAGGCCUGUGCCACCAUACCCAGCUAAUUAAAAAUUUUUUUUAAAUUAGGGGUCUCGCUAUGUUGCCCAGGCUGGUCUCAAACUCUUGGGCUCAAGAGAUCCUCCCACCUCAGCCUCUCAAAGUGCUGGGAUCACAGGUGUGAACCAUCACACUCAGCCCCCGUUUUUGAUUGUUGAUUUCUUCCCACAACAUGCACCAUUCCCGGUCCUACCGUUUGAAUGGUACAGAGCCUCUGCCUGCUGGAUAAAUGCCACACCCUCAC